GAGAGAGAGUCUGUCUCUGUGUGUGUGUGUGUGUGUGUGUGUGUGUGUGUGUGUGUGUGUGUGAGGCGUGUCUGUUAGAAGUGAGAGAAGGCGAACAGAUAACUUGCGGUCACUAAACUAUCAUAAAAAUGCAGCAAAAUAAAGCAAUAAAAUAAAAGUAAAAUAUUCGGUCAGAAACACCGAGAGACCUGAAGACGGAAUAAACAGCUGAUGCUUGUGGAAGCUUCUCGCUCUGUGGGGGAAUGUUUCCUGUCACAACAUGCAACUGUUAAGUUUUUAUUUGCUGUUUACUUUCAUAAAAGGAUUUAACACAUCACAGGAGGAUCCUGAUCCAUCUCGAUUUCCAUACGUGGACAGUGACCUUGUCUCUCCCACUCAGGACGCUUCCCCCACUGUGAUCCUGGACAUUUUCAGUAGUGCACACAAGCUCCAGACUGAGAGUGUACGUCAGGGUGGAGGGGACUCUGGAUUGGGCGAUAAGACCAGAUUCCAUGUUGUUCCACAGGAAAUCUCACACAAUGGACAGGAUAAAGCUGGAAGCGUGAUCUCUGACCUCGCUCACACAGAUACACACUCACUCACUGAUUCCAGGCUCUCGUUUACAGAAAAGGAAAAAGACUCGAGUCUCUUUAGUGCUGAAACACAAUGGACAGGACUUUCUGCUCACACACUGAACGUAGCCACAAGCGCCGAUUCAAAUACGGGUGCGAACACGCUUCCAGAAAACGGUCCACGUACCACAACAGUGUUCUCAGUUACGCACGUUGACACGAACACGCCUUCACUUCACUCUGAUGUGCUCACCGUGAUGGACAUCACCGUGAUGUCAUCAGCACCCAUGGUCAGUCAAUCUCAUAUAACUACCCACAGAAAUAGAGCAACAGUCACAGAGCUCGUGACGUCUGAAUCGAACGGAUUCCGUGAUGUCACUGAUGGACGUGACACAUCAGUGAUGUCAUCAUCAUUCACAGCCAAUGAGGGAAGGCCUGCAGUUCAGCCUUCAAGCAAAAUGUUCUGGACUAAAAGUCUUCCUCAUCCAAAUCACAUGACACCAAACUACCCAGAUUUGUCUGUUACUGAUGGCUUUCUAAGUGACUCCGUGUCACAUCUCCAGGCCUCGGAGUCCAACAGCAUCACGUAUGUAAGUGACGGCACGGUGAGGUCAUCAGCAUACAAAGACACGGCGGAAACGGAUCGCUUCCCUCGAUCGACUCGUAUCAACAGGAACGUUUCUGGUCAUACAGCCUCGUCGCGUUUUGAUGAUGUAAGCACCACGACUGACCCACCUAGAGCUUCACUUUCUGACAUGUUGGAAAAUAUAUCUACAACAAACAGGAAAAGGACGGAGUUUUACUCACACACUCCGUAUUACACCAGUUCCCCAAACACAGACUCCACACCAACUGAAUCAGAGACUCCACAGGCAUCACACACUGAAUACACAAGCAUCCCUGUACAAACUACUAACCACCAGAGGAGUGAGUCACACACACACACACUCACACACACGUCUUCUGAAACCCUUCCUACGCGCUCGGAUUCACGCUCGAGUUCUGUUACAUCGAUGAGACAGGACUUCACCUCUACACCAGCUUCACAUUCACCACACACACUGACUCACGGUGAUCCCAUUAACUCUCAUACGGUUCCGACCGGCUCCUGUAGGUCUGUUAUCGCGACCCAUCAGAACGACCCGAACACCACGCUCGGUCCCAUCACAGCUCCGUAUGGAACAACAGACACAGACUCUCUCCCUGUGUCUGAAUUACAGACACAAACUGACAAUAACACUGAAGAGAUCACAGAAAUGAACGGUAAAACAUCAGAUUCAAAUAAUCUGCCUCACGUGACGGCUCUUAACGCUGACACUCAACCAACGAUGGUCACACAUCACGACCCAUCAACAUCUAGGAAUGAUCCUGAGACAACAACAACUUUGAGCCCAGCUGUUACACCAGCAUCACUUCUGACAUCUCGCUCAUUCGACACUGUGACCACCAGCACACCUUCAGCAAACCUUCACACCGCUCACUCCACUCUUAUAACAACGACCCGACGGCCUGAGACACGAAUUCCAAACCAUCUCACUACAAGCAGGAACACGCAGAUUGUCCAGCAGCCUGAAACAACAACAACACACCAAGUGCACACAAACACACACACAAACGCUGAAACACACACACAUUUAACCCCUGUGAUCAAUCAAACAUCUUGGAGUCGCACUUUCACUAAGAAACCUGAAAAAGACUGGUCACACAAGGGGCGGGUCUUCAUCAUGGAGGACCAACCAGCAAUCAUCAAGGAGGAAACCUUCCAGGUGUUGUUACAGGUGAUACUGGAGGAGAACUCGCCCACAUAUGCAGGACUUCUGGAGGUGGAGCCGUUUUUACAAAACGUAUCAGGAUACCAAAGCCAGCAUGUCACCUGGCACAGUGGUCCAGUUGUGCAGUUUGUGGUCACGUUCAGGACAGUGGAGGCCGUCUCAUGGCUCGAGAGGGCGGGGUCUCUCUUACAGGAGGCGGGGCUAAAACCACUUCCAACAGGGGGGGUUUUUGUGAGCGGAAUCCAGGUCAAAAACAUCACAGUGGGAGGACUGCACAGUGAUGUGUGUUCUUGGUUGUUUUCUUGUCCAUCUGACUUCUCCUGUGUCUCUUCUGAUGGAAACGUCACCUGUAAGUCAGUGUGCCACUCCGAGUACUGCAAGAACCAUGGUAUCUGUGUCCAUCGGUCAGAACAGAACCCAGUCUGCCAGUGUCCUGUGGGUGAGGAUUUCUGGUUCAUGGGUCAGCGCUGUGACCUCCGUAUGACCCGGCAGAGAUUGGCCGGUUUGUGUUCUGGGGUUUUAGCAGCAAUAGCAGCUCUGAUGGGGCUCCUGGCUUAUCUCGCUGUACAGCGCUUUAAAAAAAUGCUUAUACAAGCCAAAGCAGAACAGACGCAGAGCAGUUACCGCAGAUUUAACCACUUUGAUGAGCUGUCAGCUCGUUUCUGGAGAAGAUCCUGGCCUGGGUCUCAGGACUCACUGGAUAACACUGCGUUCAGUCAUUCUGAUGAGUUACUGCAUAUGAGAGCACUGGACCAGGCCUGUUGUUACCAUGACGACACACUCUCCCUCGCCUCCACCUACCCAGAUAGCGUUACACACCUCAAUACGGUGUAUCCUCACAGCUCUCAGUAUCACUGGGACAUGAGCACAUGCAGCCUAGCGGACGGUGUGAUUGAUUCAGGAAAGGCCAGCGACCUGUCUGUGUGCAGCUGGCCGAUUGAACCCAUCCAGUGGACACCUUUCCCUUUACUACAGCAACUCAGACACACAAACACGAUGAAACCGUCUCGUCCUCGGUCGUACUGUGAGGGUAUGGAGCUGGUGGGUCUGGAGAAGAGUCGGACGGCGUAGUGAGGGAUUCAUGCAGCUCGUAACACACACUCAGGACUCUGGACACUCACUGAAGAUGACGUAUUUACUUGAAUUUGUAGAAGCAGAAACAUGGAACGCAACACGACCUGUGUGUGAGCCUUCAUCUGCUGAACCAAGAGAAGCUUCACAUCCAGUCAGUGUGACGUGGGCAGAGAAUGUUUCUCACUCUAUCUCACACGUCUGGAAAAUUGACCACUCACAUUUUAAACCUGUGAGAAAAAUUCACUGGAGACAAACCAGUUCAGUGGAGACUGAAGAAGUGUGUGUUGUUUUAGUAAUUACACCAAAAUGUCAUCAUGUAUAUGAACUAUUAGUUGUCUCUCUCUGUCUGUAUGUCUCUCUGUCUGUCUGUAUGUCUCUCUGUCUGUCUGUAUGUCUCUCUGUCUGUCUGUAUGUCUCUCUGUCUGUAUGUCUCUCUGUCUGUCUGUAUGUCUCUCUGUAUGUCUCUCUGUCUGUAUGUCUCUCUCUCUGUCUGUCUCUGUCUCUCUGUAUGUCUGUAUGUCUCUCUGUAUGUCUCUGUCUCUCUGUAUGUCUCUCUGUAUGUCUCUGUCUCUCUGUAUGUCUCUCUGUAUGUCUCUGUCUCUCUGUAUGUCUCUCU
RNA transcript from Tachysurus vachellii, 4013 nucleotides. It is a transcript of the gene named mucin-2, with no coding region annotated. The record is from RefSeq and is a predicted model, not a curated record. The transcript has 11 exons. Lineage: Eukaryota; Metazoa; Chordata; Actinopteri; Siluriformes; Bagridae.